This is a non-coding RNA of Macaca mulatta (Rhesus monkey), 756 nucleotides long. The record is from RefSeq and is a predicted model, not a curated record. NCBI's taxonomy places the organism in Eukaryota, Metazoa, Chordata, Mammalia, Primates, Cercopithecidae.
AGGCUUACAAAGUCCUGAAGAAGAGAGCUCUAAGAUUUGACUUCUGAAAGAAUCAUGAUGCGCUUACUGGCUAAACCAUUCUUCUGCUCUCAGGACUGGAUGGUUUGAUGCUUCAUGUUUCAAAAAGGUGUUUUCACCUCCCUUGAGAUUUUUAUGAGUCCUUUUUAGUGGGAAAAACUGCUGCCUCCUGUAGCACAAGGUCUGUAGAAGCUGCUUGUGGAUUUUGGCCCUGGGGAUGUAGGCGUUAUUGUGUAUUUCUAUAAUUUUUCAAGGAUAUGUAACUUGCCUAUAAAAAUAUGCCUGUGGGUUGAAUCUUGGCAGUUAACAUUUUAGUAAGAGAAUAUACUUAGUAAUAUCUGAAUGUCUAAAAGAGUAACACAUAGGUAAGCUAUUUUUAAAAACUGGGUGACAAAAACAUUGGUUGUUAUUGCCACUUUUUGAACAUGUUUGGCUAUAACUAAAUAUCAACUUUAAAAUUUAUUUUUAAAAAAACAUUUGAGAGGCAAGCAUUUGGGUUAGCUCUACAUUGGCUCCCCUCAUCAUGAAAAACAAAUAACUCAAAUCCCUCAUUUGGAAAACUGGUGACACUGAGCUAGACUUUUUGAGGAUCUGACCUCUUUGGAUACUAGGUAUUUCCAUUGCCUCUGUAGUGUUGCCAUAGGUCAAUACAUACUGACUUACGUUUCUGGGCUCAAUUUUUGUUUGUUUAUUUGUUUGGUUUUGUUUUUGAGACGGAGUCUUGCUCUGUCGCCCAAG